GAACCUCCGGGAAUUUUGAGCUUCCUGAUUUCCCUUGGCUGAGUCUAGAAUGCUUUGCACAGAUUUUAGUUUCACACAUAAUCUUUAUUUCCUCGUUUAAAAAUAAGGAGUGAUAUUUAUAGUAACAGUAAAAACCAAGUGACAUUUUCAUCUAGGCCAGCAAGUUGUAGUGUUUAGACAACUCUGGUUGAAAUGUUGUUUCUGCCACUUAUGUAUAUGGGCUUGGGCAUGUUCCCUCCUCUGUAAGGUGGGGAUAACAAUGUCGUCUCAAUGAUGCCAUGCUCUCAGAGGUAAGGACUUAGCGUAAAAGGUUUUAAUCUGGAGUCUGUGAUUGUGCUUCAGGAAUCUUUUGCUCCUGUAAUUCUAUGUAAAAUUUUGUGUAUGUUUGAAUUUUUCUAAGGGAGAGAUUUCAGAGCUUCCACAAGAAUCCCAGAGGAGUCCUUGACCACUAAAUACUGAGAACCACUAGCCUUACACAGUGCCUGGCAGAUGGCAAGUAUCCAUUCAAUGUUAAUUCUUUCUCUCUCUGCCAAGGAUACAUUUUAUAAUCAGCAGCUUAUUGAUGCUGACAUAGUUAUUUUUGAUAACAAAGGAAUUACUUAAAUUCGGAAUAGAAAUAAGAACUCUGCUGCUGUCUUUGCUCCGUUACCUGCCCAUGUGCUCCUCUUGAGCUGUGUUAGCUCCCUAGGUGCUGCUCAAACUGUCCCUUUUCUCCUCAUCCCCUGAGGACCAACUUGUAUUAUUUACUAUAGAAGAAGGAGCCAGUUCUGUUCUUUUAGAGUGAAAUGUGGAGUGACUCUUAGAGAUAGUACACGGGAAACAAGAGUAAUGCAAAAGAAAAAGGGGUGGAGGGACAGGAGUUAUUCUGGAAAACAGGAAGAGGAUCAAAAUGCCUGGUACAGUGCUGAGCACAUAAUCAUUAAUAAUGAAUCACAGAAAGGAAUGAAGAAGCAGAUGUGCAUUAAACAGUGGGAAGUGGGACACUUCCCUGGCAGUCCAGUGGUUAAGACUCUGCCAUUCCAACGCAGGGGGCGUGGGUUUGAUCCCUCGUUGAGCAACUAAGAUCGCACGUGCCGCGCGGUGUGGCAAAAAAACAAAAACAAACAAAAAAAAACAGUGGGAAGGGGUGAUGGGAAAAGAGAGAACUGGGAAGAAAGAAUCUUCCGUAGUUUCCCCCCUUCCAGGGCUUUUGUGCCCUGUGGCGGGCUGCCCACUUUUGCUGCCACUUACAUUCCUGAGUUAGAAGCACACUGCAUGGGGCGGGUAGGAAUGGUGAAGAAGCCUGAGCUCCAGGCUAGAGGGUCAUGAUGGGACCAUCAAGCUUGUUUAGAUGCUUCUUUUAAGUCCCAGCCUCUUAAUUUCCCCAUAAAAAGCAAAAACAGAAAGCAAAAAUUAGGGUUGAACAAUGGCCAAGUUGUUCAUUAAUAUCUUAUCCUUUAUCUGCAGCAUCCAAUGCCCAGAUCCCCAGAGACUUCGACCUUGGAACCAGCAUGGAGAACCUAUUCCUCAACUCCAUCAACUUUGUGGCCACAUCUUCUCUUUUCUUUUAGUCCUGAGACUGCCCUGGAGAGGAGAGGGGAGGACAGAGGAAAAGCAGUGACAGAUUUAUCCUUUGGCUUCUCUGGGAUUGGCUCCUGCCAUUCAUGGCUGGCUUUGGGAAUCCUCAGUGUGAUCCAGCUCACAGGAUGGGCAAACUGAGGCAUAGAGAGGUUGGGUCAUCCAAGCCACAGAACCAGGAGGUGGCACCAGCGUUCAGACUUACACAGUGAGUAGCCCAAGUGGGGGCAUGUGGCCCAAGUUUGGCCAAUAAAACUCAGGCUGGGGAAAAUGUGACCCUUGUCCUUUUUGGCCCUUGACUGUUGGGAUAUGAGACUAAGGCUGCUGAUGGCUGUGAUUCUAGCCUAGUGAUGCAGCUGGUCUGAGGGUAUGGUGUCAGAGAGAAGCAAAGAUGAGAUAGAGAGAGAUGAAAACCAGUACAUGUGCUCUGAAGCUUAGGCUGGCCUGGCUCACAUCCCUUGUCCUUGUGAUGGAGAGCUCUUAUGAACGUGAUGCUCAGACCCAUCCCCACUGUCGGUGUAGUGGAAA
Molecule: long non-coding RNA, 2085 nt
Organism: Aethalodelphis obliquidens (Pacific white-sided dolphin)
Lineage: Eukaryota; Metazoa; Chordata; Mammalia; Artiodactyla; Delphinidae
Exons: 3
Source: RefSeq, a predicted model, not a curated record